GCCGGGUGUGGUGACGCGCACCUGUAAUCCCAGCUACUCAGGAGGCUGAGGCAGGAGAAUCUCUUGAAACCAGGAGGCAGAGGUUGCAGUGAGCUGAGAUCGUGCCUCUGCACUCCAGCCUGGGCAACAGAGAGAGACUCCGUCUCAA
Gorilla gorilla gorilla (western lowland gorilla) is the source of this 148-nucleotide non-coding RNA. It matches the Rfam family "Metazoan signal recognition particle RNA". From Rfam's summary of the family: The signal recognition particle (SRP) is a universally conserved ribonucleoprotein. The record is from Rfam. NCBI's taxonomy places the organism in Eukaryota, Metazoa, Chordata, Mammalia, Primates, Hominidae.